UGGGGAAUUUUGGACAAUGGGCGAAAGCCUGAUCCAGCAAUGCCGCGUGUGUGAAGAAGGCCUUCGGGUUGUAAAGCACUUUUGUCCGGAAAGAAAUCCUCUGGGUUAAUACCUCGGGGGGAUGACGGUACCGGAAGAAUAAGCACCGGCUAACUACGUGCCAGCAGCCGCGGUAAUACGUAGGGUGCAAGCGUUAAUCGGAAUUACUGGGCGUAAAGCGUGCGCAGGCGGUUUUGUAAGACGGAUGUGAAAUCCCCGGGCUUAACCUGGGAACUGCAUUCGUGACUGCAAGGCUAGAGUAUGGCAGAGGGGGGUAGAAUUCCACGUGUAGCAGUGAAAUGCGUAGAGAUGUGGAGGAAUACCGAUGGCGAAGGCAGCCCCCUGGGCCAAAUACUGACGCUCAUGCACGAAAGCGUGGGGAGCAAAACAGGAUUAGAUACCCUGGUAGUCCACGCCCUAAAACGAUGUCAAACUAGUUGUUGGGGAUUCAUUUCCUUAGUAACGUAGCUAACGCGUGAAGUUGACCGCCUGGGGAGUACGGUCGCAAGAUUAAAACUCAAAUGAAUUGACGGGGUCAUAGCUG
RNAcentral lists this ribosomal RNA (583 nucleotides) under uncultured bacterium. RNAcentral's name for it is "partial 16S ribosomal RNA". It matches the Rfam family "Bacterial small subunit ribosomal RNA", at positions 355 to 932 of the family's 1533-position model. The record is from RNAcentral.